RNAcentral lists this ribosomal RNA (460 nucleotides) under uncultured bacterium. RNAcentral's name for it is "SSU rRNA". It matches the Rfam family "Bacterial small subunit ribosomal RNA", at positions 26 to 518 of the family's 1533-position model. The record is from RNAcentral.
AGAAUCAACGCUGGCGGCGUGCCUAACACAUGCAAGUCGAACGAGAAAGUGGAGCAAUCCAUGAGUAAAGUGGCGACCGGGUGAGUAACACGUGACUAACCUACCUUCGAGUGGGGGAUAACCUCGGGAAACCGAGGCUAAUACCGCAUAACAUCGCAAGAUCAAAGCAGCAAUGCGCUGGAAGAGGGGGUCGCGGCUGAUUAGCUAGUUGGCGGGGUAACGGCCCACCAAGGCGAAGAUCGGUAGCCGGCCUGAGAGGGCGCACGGCCACACUGGAACUGAAACACGGUCCAGACUCCUACGGGAGGCAGCAGUGGGGAAUUUUGCGCAAUGGGGGAAACCCUGACGCAGCAACGCCGCGUGGAGGAUGAAGUCCUUCGGGACGUAAACUCCUUUCGAUCGGGACGAUUAUGACGGUACCGGAAGAAGAAGCCCCGGCUAACUUCGUGCCAGCAGCCGC